This 345-nucleotide long non-coding RNA is filed under the name Mytilus galloprovincialis (Mediterranean mussel). Lineage: Eukaryota; Metazoa; Mollusca; Bivalvia; Mytilida; Mytilidae. The record is from RNAcentral.
AAAAAAUACACCCCCACCUAGAACAUGUAUUUUCUUCCAAGACCCCUUACCUAGAGAAAAAAAAUAAAAGUUAGCUAGUUUUUUAAAGUAUACAAAAAUGUUGCAUCCUGUCAAAUAAAUGUAAAAUUUGUUGGUUUAUCUAUUUCAGUGCAUCCAAAAAGCCCUAAAUCCGCCUCUGGUCUCAAUGGCAAUCAUACCACAUCUUCUUUUUUAUACUAGCUAUGUUGCUAUUAAAAUAUAAAAUGAAACAUGUAACAAUGUUAUGGAGCAGCAGACGACAGAUGCAACAUGACGGCAAUAGCUCACAGUGACCGAAAAAAGGGGGUGCGAUUUUAAUUAUGGCCC